RNAcentral lists this ribosomal RNA (292 nucleotides) under uncultured bacterium. RNAcentral describes it as "partial 16S ribosomal RNA". It matches the Rfam family "Bacterial small subunit ribosomal RNA", at positions 505 to 796 of the family's 1533-position model. The record is from RNAcentral.
GUGUCAGCCGCCGCGGUAAUACGGAGGGUGCAAGCGUUGUUCGGAAUUACUGGGCGUAAAGAGCGUGUAGGCGGUUAAGCAAGUCAGAUGUGAAAGCCUUCCGCUUAACGGGAGAAUGGCAUUUGAAACUACUUGGCUGGAGUUCGGGAGAGGAGAGUGGAAUUCCCGGUGUAGAGGUGAAAUUCGUAGAUAUCGGGAGGAACACCGGUGGCGAAGGCGGCUCUCUGGCCCGGUACUGACGCUGAGACGCGAAAGCGUGGGGAGCAAACAGGAUUAGAUACCCGGGUAGUCC